GCUUGUCUCAAAGAUUAAGCCAUGCAUGUCUUAGUGUAAAUAACUCUUAUGAAACUGCGAAUGGCUCAUUAAAACAGUUAUCGUUCAUUUGGUAAUCAUCUACUACAAGGAUAACUGUAGUAAUUCUAGAGCUAAUACUUGCGUUUUCCCGACUUCUCGGAAGGGAUUGCAUUUAUUAGAUACAAACCAAUCGGUGGUUUACCACUGCUAUAUGGUGAUUCAUAAUAACUAAGCGAAUCGCAUGGGCUCGCCCGGCGAUAGACCUUUCAAGUUUCUGAUCUAUCAGCUAUUGACGGUAGGGUAUUGGCCUACCGUGGCGAUGACGGAUAAAGGGGGAUUAGGGUUCGACUCCUGAGAGGGAGCCUGAGAAACGGCUACCACAUCUAAGGAAGGCAGCAGG
Molecule: ribosomal RNA, 400 nt
Filed under: uncultured Perkinsidae
Lineage: Eukaryota; Perkinsozoa; Perkinsida; Perkinsidae
Description: partial small subunit ribosomal RNA
Rfam family: Eukaryotic small subunit ribosomal RNA
Source: RNAcentral